Molecule: long non-coding RNA, 225 nt
Filed under: Ananas comosus (pineapple)
Lineage: Eukaryota; Viridiplantae; Streptophyta; Magnoliopsida; Poales; Bromeliaceae
Description: long non-coding RNA (ACOM_LNC010133)
Source: RNAcentral
ACUAAUGUCAAAUUAUGUUAUGUAUGAAUAAGAGUGUCACUUACCAUAAGGUCAAUUAAUGUCAUAUUAUCUACUAUAAUCAUGCCAAAACAAAAGUUCCACAGACAAUAAGGUCAACUAAUGUCAAAACAUACAGUAUAGAUGACUACGAGUGUCACCGACUAUAAAGUCAACUAAUGUCAAAUCUAUUACAAGUGUCACCGACUAUAAAAUCAACUAACAUUA